AGCCUGCCUCUAGCCCAACCAUGCCCAUUCACACCCCCCCCCCCCAACCUACUACAUCCCUCAAACUAAAACAUUCUUCAAACUCAGUAUAGGCGAUAGAAAAGUACCCUUCUUGGCGCGAUAGAGACUUGUACCGUAAGGGAAAGAUGAAAUAAUAGUGAAACCCUAAGCAACAAACAGCAAAGAUAAGUCCUUGUACCUUUUGCAUCAUGAUUUAGCAAGAACAACCAAGCAAAAUGACUUUAAGCUUGCCUCCCCGAAACCCAAGCGAGCUACUUUCAAGCAGCUACCCAUGAGCGAACCCGUCUCUGUUGCAAAAGAGUGGGAUGACUUGUCAGUAGUGGUGAAAAGCCUAUCGAGCUGGGUGAUAGCUGGUUGCCCGUGAAAUGAAUCUAAGUUCUCUCUUAACUCCCCUCCCAGGUCGUCAAACAUAGCCUCACUGUAGUGAGUCAAGAGUAAUUCAAAGGGGGUACAGCCCCUUUAAAAAAGAACACAGUCUCCCCUAGCGGAUAACUAUUUAACCCCGUUCCACAAGCUGUAGGCCCUUAAGCAGCCACCAACAAAGAGUGCGUCAAAGCUCCCCACCCAAAGAUACAAAGACAAUAUGAAUCCCUUACCACUAACAGGCCAACCUAUACCAAUAGAGGAAUUACUGCUAGAAUGAGUAACUAGGGGCUUCCCUCUCGAGCGCGAGCUUACACCAACUACGUUAUUAACAGACCCUCUAAUACCCAAAGCCCUACAAGACCAGGUAUUAAAAUCUCCCUGUUAACCCGACUCAGGAGCGCCCAUUAGAAGGAUUAAAAUCUGUAAAAGGAACUAGGCAAACUCAAGGCCCGACUGUUUACCAAAAACAUAGCCUUCAGCCUGCCAAGUAUUGAAGGUGAUGCCUGCCCAGUGACACUCUGUUCAACGGCCGCGGUAUCCUAACCGUGCGAAGGUAGCGCAAUCAAUUGUCCCAUAAAUCGAGACUUGUAUGAACGGCUAAACGAGGUCUUAACUGUCUCUUACAGAUAAUCAGUGAAAUUGAUCUUCCCGUGCAAAAGCGGGAAUAAACACAUAAGACGAGAAGACCCUGUGGAACUUAAAAAUCAGCGGCCACUACAUACAAACCCAACCCUAUCAGGCCUCACCUCCCCAUAAAUGCUGGCUCGCAUUUUUCGGUUGGGGCGACCUUGGAGAAAAACAAAUCCUCCAAAAAUAAGACCACCCCUCUUAACCAAGAGCAACCCCUCAACGUACUAACAGUAACCAGACCCAAUACAGUUGACUAAUGGACCAAGCUACCCCAGGGAUAACAGCGCAAUCUCCUUCAAGAGCCCAUAUCGACAAGGAGGUUUACGACCUCGAUGUUGGAUCAGGACAUCCUAAUGGUGCAGUCGCUAUUAAGGGUUCGUUUGUUCAACGAUUAAUAGUCCUACGUGAUCUGAGUUCAGACCGGAGCAAUCCAGGUCGGUUUCUAUCUAUGCUGUACUUUUCCCAGUACGAAAGGACCGGAAAAGUGAGGCCAAUACUACAAGCACGCCUUCCCUAUAAGUAAUGCCCCCCACUAAAUUACCAAUAGGAUACCCACAUCCCUUCCACAUCCUAGAAAAGGACCG
This 1601-nucleotide ribosomal RNA is filed under the name Balaeniceps rex (shoebill). RNAcentral's name for it is "16S ribosomal RNA". It matches the Rfam family "Bacterial large subunit ribosomal RNA", at positions 440 to 2837 of the family's 2925-position model. The record is from RNAcentral. Lineage: Eukaryota; Metazoa; Chordata; Aves; Pelecaniformes; Balaenicipitidae.